This 623-nucleotide unclassified non-coding RNA is filed under the name Hevea brasiliensis (rubber tree). Lineage: Eukaryota; Viridiplantae; Streptophyta; Magnoliopsida; Malpighiales; Euphorbiaceae. The record is from RNAcentral.
GCGGCAGCCUGAAUUAGCAAACAAGGUUAUGCCUCUUCCUAUAUCCUUGCAGACAACAAUGNCAAAAUGAUGGUCUUGUUGGACGUCCUCUUCAGCAGCCUGUUUCUGAUGCACAGUUAGCUGAGUUUCCCAUCACAAAUGAGACAAUGAACCAGCAAAAGGAGCUGACAAUUGAAGGGGGAACAAUCAGCAUCUCCAGCAUUUACUCUCAAGGGUUGUUGAACAAUCUUACACAAGCACUGCAGAGUGCUGGUGUUGAUUUGUCACAGGCCAAUGUCUCGGUGCAGAUUGAUCUAGGAAGGAGUUCAAAUAAAGGGCUGACAUCUAGAACAUCUGUUGCUAAGAACCCUCCAGCGGUGACAAAUCUUAGGGAUGUGGGCAGUGAAGGGGACUCAGAUCGGGCUCAAAAACGGCUGAAGACAUAAGACUGGUAUAGUUUCUUGGCUCUUCAUAUUCUCUCUGUUUCUCUAUCCUUUGAUCUACUAUUUCUCUUGGAUUUCUUCCCCUGGUGUACAUGCUAUGCUUUUUGUUUCUUGGACUCAUAGCAGUAUUUCUUGAGAUUCAUGUCAAGAGUUAUCACCUUAGAUGAUAUGUUUUCCCUGGAAUUUCCCCGCAGUUCUCUG